AUACGGAGGAUGCAAGCGUUAUCCGGAUUUAUUGGGUUUAAAGGGUGCGUAGGCGGUUUGCUAAGCGGGAGGUGAAAUGCCGGGGCUUAACGUCGGAAGUGCCUCCCGAACUGGUGGACUUGAAUGACUCUGCCGUGGGAGGAAUGAGUAGUGUAGAGGUGAAAUGCAUAGAUAUUACGCAGAACACCGAUUGCGAAGGCAUCUCACGAAUCCGUCAUUGACGCUGAGGCACGAAAGCGUGGGGAUCAAACAUGAUUAGAUACCCUGGUAGUCCACGCAGUAGACGAGGAUGACUAGCCGUCGGCGAUACACAUUCGGUGGCCAAGCGAAAGCGAUAAGUCAUCCACCUGGGGAGUACGGUCGCAAGAAUGAAACUCAAAGGAAUUGACGGGG
This 393-nucleotide ribosomal RNA is filed under the name uncultured bacterium. RNAcentral describes it as "partial 16S ribosomal RNA". It matches the Rfam family "Bacterial small subunit ribosomal RNA", at positions 523 to 918 of the family's 1533-position model. The record is from RNAcentral.